This 497-nucleotide ribosomal RNA is filed under the name uncultured bacterium. RNAcentral describes it as "partial 16S ribosomal RNA". It matches the Rfam family "Bacterial small subunit ribosomal RNA", at positions 28 to 507 of the family's 1533-position model. The record is from RNAcentral.
GAUGAACGCUGGCGGCGUGCCUAAUACAUGCAAGUCGAGCGAACAGAUGAGGAGCUUGCUCCUCUGACGUUAGCGGCGGACGGGUGAGUAACACGUGGAUAACCUACCUAUAAGACUGGGAUAACUUCGGGAAACCGGAGCUAAUACCGGAUAAUAUAUUGAACCGCAUGGUUCAAUAGUGAAAUACGGUUUUGCUGUCACUUAUAGAUGGAUCCGCGCCGUAUUAGCUAGUUGGUAAGGUAACGGCUUACCAAGGCAACGAUGCGUAGCCGACCUGAGAGGGUGGUCGGCCACACGGGAACUGAGACACGGUCAAGACGCCUAAGGGAGGCAGCAGUAGGGAAUCUUACGCAAUGGGCGAAAGCAUGACGGAGCAACGCCGCGUGAGUGAUGAAGGUCUUCGGAUCGUAAAACUCUGUUAUUAGGGAAGAACAAAUGUGGAAGUAACUAUGCACGUCUUGACGGUACCUAAUCAGAAAGCCACGGCUAACUACGUG